This 496-nucleotide ribosomal RNA is filed under the name uncultured bacterium. RNAcentral describes it as "partial 16S ribosomal RNA". It matches the Rfam family "Bacterial small subunit ribosomal RNA", at positions 28 to 507 of the family's 1533-position model. The record is from RNAcentral.
GAUGAACGCUGGCGGCGUGCCUAAUACAUGCAAGUCGAGCGAACGGACGAGAAGCUUGCUUCUCUGAUGUUAGCGGCGGACGGGUGAGUAACACGUGGAUAACCUACCUAUAAGACUGGGAUAACUUCGGGAAACCGGAGCUAAUACCGGAUAAUAUUUUGAACCGCAUGGUUCAAAAGUGAAAGACGGUCUUGCUGUCACUUAUAGAUGGAUCCGCGCUACAUUAGCUAGUUGGUAAGGUACGGCUUACCAAGGCAACGAUGCAUAGCCGACCUGAGAGGGUGAUCGGCCACACUGGAACUGAGACACGGUCCAGACUCCUACGGGAGGCAGCAGUAGGGAAUCUUCCGCAAUGGGCGAAAGCCUGACGGAGCAACGCCGCGUGAGUGAUGAAGGUCUUCGGAUCGUAAAACUCUGUUAUUAGGGAAGAACAUAUGUGUAAGUAACUGUGCACAUCUUGACGGUACCUAAUCAGAAAGCCACGGCUAACUACGUG